CUUCACCCCCCCCCUUUUACUCCUCUUCAAUUUUUUGUUGAACAAAAAGAAGAAAACAAAAGGAAGACAGGAGAAAGGGAGGGGGGCGAAG
Podarcis lilfordi (Lilford's wall lizard) is the source of this 91-nucleotide non-coding RNA. NCBI's taxonomy places the organism in Eukaryota, Metazoa, Chordata, Lepidosauria, Squamata, Lacertidae. The record is from the annotation of a GenBank genome assembly.